RNAcentral lists this long non-coding RNA (418 nucleotides) under Androctonus crassicauda. The record is from RNAcentral. Lineage: Eukaryota; Metazoa; Arthropoda; Arachnida; Scorpiones; Buthidae.
GUAAUAUUUGCUCCAUAUUAACUAUUGACUUUCAUGAUAUGGAACUACAUUGAAGUACCAAAGAGCCACAUGUGGCUUGGGAGCAGCAAUUUGGCCACCAUGGAUAUAUACUCUAUUUAUUGGACCCUGCCUUUCACAUAUAUUCUUCAGAUAAAUCACUAUGUAUGUUUAUUCCUUACUUCUCACUUGCAUCAAUAUCUCUUUCCCCAUUCAUUAAAGCAUAUUGAUCCUCAAAAUCAAUUGAUAGUGAUCUGAGUCAAUCACUGAACCUCUCAUCAAUCUUGUAUCCUGAUUUUAUACAUUAUUUCUCUCACAGUUUCAGUAGAUUAACGGCCACAUCCAUACCACUUCUCACUAUUCAUCACUCCAGACUGUUCUCCAACAAUCCAUUCCAUAUUCAAAUAUACUUAUAUGAUAU